GACGAACGCUGGCGGCGUGCUUAACACAUGCAAGUCGAACGGACAGGCCCUGCUUUUGUGGGGUGCUCGAGUGGCGAACGGGUGAGUAACACGUGAGUAACCUGCCCUUGACUUUGGGAUAACUUCAGGAAACUGGGGCUAAUACCGGAUAGGAGCUCCUGCUGCAUGUUGGGGGUUGGAAAGUUUCGGCGGUUGGGGAUGGACUCGCGGCUUAUCAGCUUGUUGGUGUGGUAGUGGCUUACCAAGGCUUUGACGGGUAGCCGGCCUGAGAGGGUUACCGGGGACAUUGGGACUGAGAGACGGCCCAGACGCGUACGGGAGGCAGCAGUGGGGAAUAUUGCAGAAUGGGCGGAAGCCAGAUGCAGCAACGCCGCGUGCGGGAUAACGGCUUUCGGGUGAUAAACCGAUUUCGACUGUGACGAAGAGUGAGUGACGGUAAUGGGUAAAGAAGCAACGGCUAACUACGUG
RNAcentral lists this ribosomal RNA (468 nucleotides) under uncultured bacterium. RNAcentral describes it as "partial 16S ribosomal RNA". It matches the Rfam family "Bacterial small subunit ribosomal RNA", at positions 28 to 507 of the family's 1533-position model. The record is from RNAcentral.